CCUACGGGUGGCAGCAGUAGGGAAUCUUCCACAAUGGGCGCAAGCCUGAACGAGCAACGCCGCGUGAAUGAAGAAGGUCUUCGGAUCGUAAAACCCUGUUGUUAGAGAAGAAAGUGCGUGAGAGUAACUGUUCACGUUUCGACGGUAUCUUACGAGGAAGCCACGGCUAACUACGUGCCAGCAGCCGCGGUAAUACGUAGGUGGCAAGCGUUAUCCGGAAUUAUUGGGCGUAAAGGGAACGUAGGCGGGCUUUUAAGUCUGAUGUGAAAGGCUUCGGGUUAACCGGUGAAGGGCACUGGAAACUGGCGGACUAGAGAGCAGGAGAGGGGGGUGGAACUCCAUGUGUAGCGGUAAAAUGCGUAGAUAUAUGGAAGAACACCAGUGGCGAAGGCGGCCGUCUGGUCUGUAACUGACGCUGAGGUUCGAAAGCGUGGGUAGCAAACAGGAUUAGAUACCCUUGUAGUC
Molecule: ribosomal RNA, 465 nt
Filed under: uncultured bacterium
Lineage: Bacteria
Description: partial 16S ribosomal RNA
Rfam family: Bacterial small subunit ribosomal RNA
Source: RNAcentral